Molecule: long non-coding RNA, 222 nt
Filed under: Mus musculus (house mouse)
Lineage: Eukaryota; Metazoa; Chordata; Mammalia; Rodentia; Muridae
Description: predicted gene, 47371
Source: RNAcentral
AUGCCCUUUUCUGGGUGUUAUGGAUGGCAAAAGGCGGAGACUGUUUACCAUCAAGCCUCACAACCUGAGUUAAUACCUGGGACACAUACAGUAGAGAAAACUGAACUCUGUAAGUUUCCCUCUGACCUUGCCACCAUGUUGCUAUAUAUGAUGAGAUAUGGCCAAAUAGCAGAUAGUUAGAAAAAUGAGAUGCAUUUUAAUAGCCCUUUCUCUAAAAUAUAG